GCCAGGUGUGGUGGCACAUACCUGUAAUCCCAGCUACUGGGGAGGCUGAGAUGGGAGAAUCGCUUGAACCCAGGAGGCAGAGGUUGCAGUGAGCUGAGAUCACGGCACUGCACUCCAGCCUGGGUGACAGGGUGAGAUCCCAUCUCAA
Pan troglodytes (chimpanzee) is the source of this 148-nucleotide non-coding RNA. It matches the Rfam family "Metazoan signal recognition particle RNA". Rfam says of the family: The signal recognition particle (SRP) is a universally conserved ribonucleoprotein. It is involved in the co-translational targeting of proteins to membranes. The record is from Rfam. NCBI's taxonomy places the organism in Eukaryota, Metazoa, Chordata, Mammalia, Primates, Hominidae.